RNAcentral lists this long non-coding RNA (2493 nucleotides) under Chrysolophus pictus (golden pheasant). RNAcentral describes it as "lncRNA (ENSCPIG00010009507.1)". The record is from RNAcentral. Lineage: Eukaryota; Metazoa; Chordata; Aves; Galliformes; Phasianidae.
CUUGAUUCUCAUAUAAACCAGAUGCCCCUGGCUUAGGCUUUCUCCUGCUCACUCCGCCCCCUCCUUCUCUUCUCCCCCCGCAGCUCCUCUGUGGACAGGGGCAGAGAUUGCUGUGGAGAUGGGGCACAGUGGAGAGCGCCCUGAGCUUUGUCUGGGGCACGUCUUCCUCUUCCUGGGAAGGAACAAGGAGCAGUUUGUAACCCAGGGCGUUAGAUGUGGUCCCUCGGCAUCCCAAGCAGGUACUUGCAGGAUGUAGGAGGGCACAGACCAGCAUGCUGUUCCAGACAGCACCCUGUCCACUUCUAACAUACUUUAUUUGUCUUGUUUGCCAGAUCCUGUCAAGCAGAGCUGUCCUCCCGGCUAACACAAGAGCAGGCAGCUGGCAGAGUGCUGGACACAAAGGGGCAGCUGGGAACUGCACAGGGAGGAUGGCCACUGUCCUUGAAGUCUCUGAGCUUGCCUGAGCUGUCAGCUGUCCUCGAGAAAUGUGUGGGAGAAAUGGGAAAAGCUCUGCAGAUGGUAACUCAAAACCUCCAAAGGCUCCAGGCCCCAGGGCAGGGUGCGCAGAGCUGGCUAGAGCCAUAACAAAGCAGGAUGGAAUACUGACGUCGGGUGACUGUUCCACCCGGAAUCUGAGCGUGCCUGGGAGAAUGAGCACAAGGACUGUGCUGGCAGCGCCGCAGCUCUGUGGAGAGUGUUGUGACAGCUGGCAGAUGUGUGGACAAAGGUCUCGGCCAUCAGAAUGUGCCAGGAGAAUGAGGGAUGGCAGAGGACAAGGAUACAGCAGCUCUCUGGGUCUGGUUCUUGUCUAGGUUCCCAGGACUGUGCUGUUUGUACCAGAAGUUCAAGUUAAGAGAAGAAGCCCAAAGGAUUUAUCUGCCUUAAACUUCCUGCAGCCUUUGUUGUUCAGGGCUAUGUUGUGUUAGAGAGCUGACAGCUGCCCACAGCCAUCAACUAAUUAUCCUUUUCCACAUCCUAUCCUCCCCAAGGCCUCCAACAAAUGAAUGGUAGUUGCUGAGGAGCUGACACAGAAAAUGUGUCUGAGGCAGUAAGGAGUGCAGGCUUGUGAGAUGAGUAAAGUGAGCAGAGUUGGUGAUGUCUGAGAAACACAUGCAGCCAAGUCUAGCUGGAACAUCUUCCCUGCAGUUGUCUCAGAUCUGUACUUCAAAACUACUCCCUUCAGCUAGCCUGCCUUGGUUCAGUUCAGAUUCCUGCCCCUUCAGGGCUCAUUUUGAUCAUGUUCUUUACUUCCAAAGAACUUUUUUUGUGGUAAAUGCUUUGUGGCAAGCAUUUACAAGCAGCAGACUCCAGUGGUCAGGUCUGCUGGUGCCAGGAUCCCAGCACUGACAGUGGUUGCAAAGCAGAUGUGUCCCUGGAAGGACAUGAGAGAGAAGGAAAAGCUCAAGACUGUUUGGUCUGCUUUGCCUCUGGCAAGCAGCAGAGCAGCAAGGCAGGCAGGACUAGGACUGAGGCCUCGGUUGGUUAAGACGGAUAAAAGAAAUCCCAUCUCAAAUGUAGCUGCACUGCCAUGCUUCAAUCCUUAGCUGCUGCCUGCUCUAAGUUCUCAGGCUUCAGUGUUCGGAAAGAAGCCUGCCAAGACAUUCUGGUUGGCAGUGUGAUAUAGUUUCAUAGGGCAAACAAAAGGUGUGGGGAAAAGGCUGCCUCCCAAGGGGGACUGCCUGAUCUCUUGGAGAUGGGCAAAGAAUCACAGAAUGAUGAAAUCGUAGGGGUUGGAAGGGACCUCCAGAGAUCAUUGAGUCCACGUGGGCACUGGUGACUGCUACAUGGAUGUAAAGUGGCUUCCAGAACUGCAGUGACUGUUCCUGUGUACUGCUGAGUCUUGGGGGAGAAUUAUCUUCUGUCUGACUGAUGGCCUUGAUGAAUCUGUAAUGGUCUCCAUCUAUUCCUUGAGAAGAAACUGCAUGCUCUUUCAGCACCUCUGAUUAAGGGCCAGAAAAAGUAGAAAAAUCCAUCUCAGCUCCAUCCUUUGAGCUUGUCACUUCUGGUCAGCUGCCCACAGCUGUUCAGACGAGCUGGAGCCCGGUUCCCCAUUGGUGGGGAUGACAUCUAGUUUGCUGCCUGGGGACAACCUGGGGGAACAGAGAUGGGUACAGCCUGCACUGUGCAGUGCUGCAGCUUGUAUGUGCGUGGCAGCGUGUUCAGCUGGGGUGUUGAUUCUUACUCACAUUUAACUCUUGUCCUUCGUUCCCUGGUCCAGAGUAUGGGUAGGCCAGAGACUAAGUGUGAAAGAAGAAGGGAGUCCCACAGGAUGGGUUCUGCAGGAGCCCAGAUGCCCCAAGGGGAUCACCAGGAGUGGGGUUUUAUAGAGUAGUGUUCCAUUAAGGACAGUGAUUCAGUAUUCAGUGCUGAAAGGGCAGCUGUGCCAGCAGCAAGGUGACUGGUGCUACCUGAAGUCAAGCUGUCUGUAUUAAGUAACAUUUGUUACUCAGCUAAAACAAUAAAAGCUGAAAACCUGUUUCUGGUGCUUCCUGU